UGGGGAUUUUUGGACAAUGGGGGAAACCCUGAUCCAGCCAUCCCGCGUGUGCGAUGAAGGCCUUCGGGUUGUAAAGCACUUUUGGCAGGAAAGAAACGUCAUGGGUUAAUACCCCGUGAAACUGACGGUACCUGCAGAAUAAGCACCGGCUAACUACGUGCCAGCAGCCGCGGUAAUACGUAGGGUGCAAGCGUUAAUCGGAAUUACUGGGCGUAAAGCGUGCGCAGGCGGUUCGGAAAGAAAGAUGUGAAAUCCCAGAGCUCAACUUUGGAACUGCAUUUUUAACUACCGGGCUAGAGUGUGUCAGAGGGAGGUGGAAUUCCGCGUGUAGCAGUGAAAUGCGUAGAUAUGCGGAGGAACACCGAUGGCGAAGGCAGCCUCCUGGGAUAACACUGACGCUCAUGCACGAAAGCGUGGGGAGCAAACAGG
RNAcentral lists this ribosomal RNA (429 nucleotides) under Acidobacteriota bacterium. RNAcentral describes it as "Acidobacteria bacterium partial 16S ribosomal RNA". It matches the Rfam family "Bacterial small subunit ribosomal RNA", at positions 355 to 776 of the family's 1533-position model. The record is from RNAcentral. Lineage: Bacteria; Pseudomonadati; Acidobacteriota.